Trichonephila inaurata madagascariensis is the source of this 74-nucleotide non-coding RNA. The record is from the annotation of a GenBank genome assembly. Lineage: Eukaryota; Metazoa; Arthropoda; Arachnida; Araneae; Nephilidae.
GUCCCUGUAGCGCAAUGGAUAGCGCUUUGGACUUCUUAUCAAAAGGUCGUGGGGAUGGAAUCCUACCUGGGAUG